This 445-nucleotide ribosomal RNA is filed under the name uncultured bacterium. RNAcentral describes it as "bacterial SSU rRNA". It matches the Rfam family "Bacterial small subunit ribosomal RNA", at positions 354 to 796 of the family's 1533-position model. The record is from RNAcentral.
GUAAGGAAUAUUGGUCAAUGGACGCAAGUCUGAACCAGCCAUGCCGCGUGAAGGAUGAAGGCCCUCUGGGUUGUAAACUUCUUUUAUAGGGGACGAAAAAUAGGUAUUCUUACUUACUUGACGGUACCCUAGGAAUAAGCACCGGCUAACUCCGUGCCAGCAGCCGCGGUAAUACGGAGGGUGCAAGCGUUAUCCGGAUUUACUGGGUUUAAAGGGUGCGUAGGUGGGCAGGUAAGUCAGUGGUGAAAUCUUCGAGCUUAACUCGGAAACUGCCAUUGAUACUAUCUGUCUUGAAUUAUCUGGAGGUAAGCGGAAUAUGUCAUGUAGCGGUGAAAUGCUUAGAGAUGACAUAGAACACCCAUUGCGAAGGCAGCUUACUACGGAUCGAUUGACACUGAGGCACGAAAGCGUGGGGAUCAAACAGGAUUAGAUACCCUUGUAGUCC